AACGAACGCUGGCGGCAUGCCUAACACAUGCAAGUCGAACGAGACCUUCGGGUCUAGUGGCGCACGGGUGCGUAACGCGUGGGAACCUGCCCUUAGGUUCGGAAUAACUCCCCGAAAGGGGUGCUAAUACCGGAUAAUGUCUUCGGACCAAAGAUUUAUCGCCUUUGGAUGGGCCCGCGUUGGAUUAGCUAGUUGGUAGGGUAAAAGCCUACCAAGGCGACGAUCCAUAGCUGGUCUGAGAGGAUGAUCAGCCACACUGGGACUGAGACACGGCCCAGACUCCUACGGGAGGGAGCAGAGGGGAAUAUUGGACAAUGGGCGAAGGCCUGAUCCAGCAAUGCCGCGUGAGUGAUGAAGGCCUUAGGGUUGUAAAGCUCUUUUACCCGGGAUGAUAAUGACAGUACCGGGAGAAUAAGCGCCGGCUAACUCCGUG
RNAcentral lists this ribosomal RNA (433 nucleotides) under uncultured bacterium. RNAcentral's name for it is "partial 16S ribosomal RNA". It matches the Rfam family "Bacterial small subunit ribosomal RNA", at positions 29 to 507 of the family's 1533-position model. The record is from RNAcentral.